UUAGAGUUUGAUCCUGGCUCAGAACGAACGCUGGCGGCGUGGAUAAGGCAUGCAAGUCGAGCGAUCUCGCAAGAGAUAGCGGCAGAAGGGUUAGUAACACGUGGGUAAUCUGCCUUCAGGCGUGGGAUAACCUUCCGAAAGGAGGGCUAAUACCGCAUAACAUUGCAGUUUCGCAUGAAUCUGCAAUCAAAGAUGGCCGCAAGGCUGUCACCAGAAGAUGAGCCCGCGUCCUAUCAGCUAGUUGGUGAGGUAACGGCUCACCAAGGCUUUUGACGGGUAGCUGGUCUAAGAGGACGGUCAGCAACACUGGGACUGAGACACUGCCCAGACUCCUACGGGAGGCUGCAGUCGAGGAUCUUUAUCAAUGCCCGAAAGGGUGAAUAUGCGACGCCGCGUGUGGGAUGAAGGCCUUCGGGUCGUAAACCACUGUCAGGGGUGAGGAAAACCCGUCCGUUAAUACCGGAUGGAUUUGACGUUAACCCCAGAGGAAGCCACGGCUAACUCUGUGCCAGCAGCCGCGGUAAUACAGAGGCGGCAAGCGUUGUUCGGAUUUAUUGGGUGUAAAGGGCAGGUAGGUGGUCAUGUAAGUCCGCUGUGAAAUCCCAGGGCUCAACCCUGGAACUGCAGUAGAAACUGCAUGACUUGAGUAUCAGAGAGAUGAGGGGAAUUCUCGGUGUAAGGGUGAAAUCUGUAGAUAUCGAGAGGAAUACCAGUGGCGAAGGCGCCUCAUUGGCUGAUAACUGACACUGAGCUGCGAAAGCAAGGGGAGCAAACAGGAUUAGAUACCCUGGUAGUCCUUGCCGUAAACGAUGUGGAUUAGGUGUCGGGAGUGUCGAUCCUCUCGGCGCCGCCGUUAACACAUUAAAUCCACCACCUGGGGAGUACGGUCGCAAGACUGAAACUCAAAGGAAUUGACGGGGACCCGCACAAGCGGUGGAGCAUGUGGUUUAAUUCGAGGCUACGCGAAGAACCUUACCUAGGCUUGACAUGUUUGCAGUAGUCCUGAUGAAAGUCGGGGCGACCGUAUCCAAUCGGAGGCAUACACAGGUGCUGCAUGGUUGUCGUCAGCUCGUGCUGUGAAGUGUUGGGUUAAGUCCCGCAACGAGCGCAACCAUUGCUCUUAGUUGCCAUCAGGUUAAGCUGGGCACUCUAAGAGGACCGCCAGUGAUAAACUGGAGGAAGGUGGAGAUGAUGUCAAAUCAGCAUGGCCCUUACGCCUAGGGCUACACACGUGCUACAAUGGCCGGUACAAUGAGCAGCGAGUCCGCGAGGAGGAGCAAAUCUCAAAAAGCCGGCCCCAGUUCGGAUAGUAGGCUGCAAUUCGCCUGCUUGAAGCCGGAAUCGCUAGUAAUGGCGCAUCAGAACGGCGCCGUGAAUACGUUCCCGGGUCUUGUACACACCGCCCGUCAAGCCACCUGAAUCGGAGGUACCCGAAAUCGUCUCUCUAACCCGCAAGGGAGGAAGGCGCUGAAGGUAAAACUGGUGAGGAGGGCUAAGUCGUAACAAGGUAACC
Molecule: ribosomal RNA, 1513 nt
Filed under: uncultured bacterium
Lineage: Bacteria
Description: 16S ribosomal RNA
Rfam family: Bacterial small subunit ribosomal RNA
Source: RNAcentral